GCUCUUCACCAGAGCCUCCUGACUCCCCAGGACCCCAGAGAGGACCGACCCUCUCCAGCCGACCUCUGGGCUCAGGACAGCUGGGUGGGGCAGCCACAGGAGCUGCCUGUAGGGAGCAGAGUCAGGACGGGGACCGAGCCGGACACCCAUUCUGGAAGUGUCUGCACUUCCAGACUGCUGGCCAGACCCCCAAGCUAGCCCGCCAGGCCUCCAUAGAGCUGCCCAGCAUGGCUGCGUCCAGUACCAAGAGUUGGUGGGAGACGGGUGAAGUACAGGCUCAGUCUGCGGCCAAGACUCCAUCCUGCAAGGAUAUUGUGGCUGGAGACAUGAGCAAGAAAAGCCUCUGGGAGCAGAAGGGAGGCUCCAAGACCUCAUCAACAAUUAAGCAUUCCGGUCCCUGGAGGAAACAUCAGACAAACACAGAUGGAGGGACCUUCAAGGACUGACCUGAACUGUUCUUCGGUGUCAACCCCAUGAUAGACAAAAAGAGGCAGAGGAACUGUUCCAGAUUAAGGGAGACUAAAAAGGUAUGACAGCUGGAUCAGGGGAAACGUGCCUUAAAGGGCAUUAUUGGGACUGUUGGCGAAAUUUUAAGUGAACUGUAUAUUAGACAAUUAUCAAGGACUACACGAUUGUAUGGCAUCAACCUCAAAUUCCCCGAACUUGAGCACUAGAGUCUUCUUGUUCUGAUGGAAUAUGUUCUGAAAUGUUUAAGGGAGAGGAGAAGGAUGCCUGCAACUGAAUUUCAAAUGGUUCAGGGAAAGAUAAUAGAGUAGAAUAGACUAUAUAGAUGGAGAAAGUAAAUGUGGCAAAUAACAAUUGGUGAAGGUGGGUGAAGGGCAUGAAAGUUCUUUGCCUUACAAUUAAUUCUUCUAUAAGUCUGAAAUUAUUUGAAAAUAAGAGAAAUGCUUUCAGCUGUGAAUAACAGAAAGUCUGACUACUUGUGGCUUUUGCAAUAAAGACAUUUAGUUAUGUAACAUAACAGGAUUUAAGAGGAAGAAGGCAAGGACUUGAAAAGGCUCAGUGAUGUAGCUGAGGCCCCAGAUUCCUUUUAUCAUUUUGUCCAAAGGCUCCACCUUCCUGAAUAUUACUGCUUUAUACCCU
This is a long non-coding RNA of Homo sapiens (human), 1104 nucleotides long. Ensembl annotates it as LSP1 pseudogene 5. Its record names the gene LSP1P5. NCBI's taxonomy places the organism in Eukaryota, Metazoa, Chordata, Mammalia, Primates, Hominidae. The record is from Ensembl.